GAUGAAGAACGUAGCGAAAUGCGAUAAGUAAUGUGAAUUGCAGAAUUCCGUGAAUCAUCGAAUCUUUGAACGCACAUUGCGCCCCCUGGUAUUCCGGGGGGCAUGCCUGUCCGAGCGUCAUUGCAACCCUCAAGCGCGGCUUGUGUGUUGGGCUUCGCCCCCCCGUGGACGUGCCCGAAAGGCAGUGGCGGCGUCCCGAAUGGUGCCCGAGCGUAUGGGAACUCUCUUCCGCUCGAACCGGCCCAUUCGGCGCUGGUCGAACCCCAAUUUUUUUUUACCGGUUGACCUCGGAUCAGGUAGGGAUACCCGCUGAACUUAAGCAUAUCAAUAAGCGGAGGA
This 339-nucleotide unclassified non-coding RNA is filed under the name soil metagenome. RNAcentral describes it as "partial contains 5.8S ribosomal RNA, internal transcribed spacer 2, and large subunit ribosomal RNA". The stretch from base 1 to 120 matches the Rfam family "5.8S ribosomal RNA", at positions 35 to 154 of the family's 154-position model. The record is from RNAcentral.